AACGAACGCUGGCGGCAUGCCUAACGCAUGCAAGUCGAACGAGACCUUCGGGUCUAGUGGCGCACGGGUGCGUAACGCGUGGGAACCUGCCCUUAGGUUCGGAAUAACUCCCCGAAAGGGGUGCUAAUACCGGAUAAUGUCUUCGGACCAAAGAUUUAUCGCCUUUGGAUGGGCCCGCGUUGGAUUAGCUAGUUGGUAGGGUAAAAGCCUACCAAGGCGACGAUCCAUAGCUGGUCUGAGAGGAUGAUCAGCCACACUGGGACUGAGACACGGCCCAGACUCCUACGGGAGGCAGCAGUGGGGAAUAUUGGAAAAUGGGCGAAAGCCUGAUCCAGCAAUGCCGCGUGAGUGAUGAAGGCCUUAGGGUUGUAAAGCUCUUUUACCCGGGAUGAUAAUGACAGUACCGGGAGAAUAAGCUCCGGCUAACUACGUG
Molecule: ribosomal RNA, 433 nt
Filed under: uncultured bacterium
Lineage: Bacteria
Description: partial 16S ribosomal RNA
Rfam family: Bacterial small subunit ribosomal RNA
Source: RNAcentral